CGAAAGCCUGACGGAGCAAUACCGCGUGAGGGAGGAAGGCUCUUGGGUUGUAAACCUCAAAACUUAGGGAAGAAGAAAGUGACGGUACCUAAUAUAAGCAUCGGCUAACUCCGUGCCAGCAGCCGCGGUAAUACGGAGGAUGCAAGCGUUAUCCGGAAUCAUUGGGCGUAAAGCGUCCGUAGGUGGCAUUUAAAGUCUGCUGUCAAAGACCGAAGCUCAACUUCGGGUAGGCGGUGGAAACUAAAAAGCUAGAGUAUAGUAGGGGUAGAGGGAAUUCCUAGUGUAGCGGUGAAAUGCGUAGAGAUUAGGAAGAACACCAGUGGCGAAGGCGCUCUACUGGGCAUAUACUGACACUGAGGGACGAAAGCUA
This 370-nucleotide ribosomal RNA is filed under the name uncultured cyanobacterium. RNAcentral's name for it is "bacterial SSU rRNA". It matches the Rfam family "Bacterial small subunit ribosomal RNA", at positions 376 to 762 of the family's 1533-position model. Lineage: Bacteria; Bacillati; Cyanobacteriota. The record is from RNAcentral.